This 301-nucleotide ribosomal RNA is filed under the name uncultured bacterium. RNAcentral describes it as "partial 16S ribosomal RNA". It matches the Rfam family "Bacterial small subunit ribosomal RNA", at positions 509 to 807 of the family's 1533-position model. The record is from RNAcentral.
CAGUCGCCGCGGUAAUACGGAGGGUGCAAGCGUUAUCCGGAUUUAUUGGGUUUAAAGGGUCUGUAGGCGGAUCUGUAAGUCAGUGGUGAAAUCUCACAGCUUAACUGUGAAACUGCCAUUGAUACUGCAGGUCUUGAGUAAAUUUGAAGUGGCUGGAAUAAGUAGUGUAGCGGUGAAAUGCAUAGAUAUUACUUAGAACACCAAUUGCGAAGGCAGGUCACUAAGAUUUAACUGACGCUGAUGGACGAAAGCGUGGGGAGCGAACAGGAUUAGAUACCCCCGUAGUCCCUGUCUCUUAUAC